RNAcentral lists this ribosomal RNA (826 nucleotides) under aquatic bacterium R1-B14. RNAcentral describes it as "bacterial SSU rRNA". It matches the Rfam family "Bacterial small subunit ribosomal RNA", at positions 8 to 829 of the family's 1533-position model. The record is from RNAcentral.
AGAGUUUGAUCAUGGCUCAGAUUGAACGCUGGCGGAAUGCUUUACACAUGCAAGUCGAACGAUGAACCUUAGCUUGCUAAGGGGAUUAGUGGCGAACGGGUGAGUAAUAUAUCGGAACGUACCUUGUAAUGGGGGAUAACUAGUCGAAAGAUUAGCUAAUACCGCAUACGCCCUGAGGGGGAAAGUAGGGGAUCUUCGGACCUUACGUUAUAAGAGCGGCCGAUAUCUGAUUAGCUAGUUGGUGGGGUAAUGGCCUACCAAGGCGACGAUCAGUAGCUGGUCUGAGAGGACGACCAGCCACACUGGAACUGAGACACGGUCCAGACUCCUACGGGAGGCAGCAGUGGGGAAUUUUGGACAAUGGGCGCAAGCCUGAUCCAGCCAUUCCGCGUGAGUGAAGAAGGCCUUCGGGUUGUAAAGCUCUUUCGCAAGGGAAGAAAACUUACCAUCGAAUAAAUGGUGAGGCUGACGGUACCUUGAUAAGAAGCACCGGCUAACUACGUGCCAGCAGCCGCGGUAAUACGUAGGGUGCGAGCGUUAAUCGGAAUUACUGGGCGUAAAGCGUGCGCAGGCGGUUUUGUAAGUCAGAUGUGAAAUCCCCGAGCUCAACUUGGGAACUGCGUUUGAAACUACAAGACUAGAAUAUGUCAGAGGGGGGUAGAAUUCCACGUGUAGCAGUGAAAUGCGUAGAGAUGUGGAGGAAUACCAAUGGCGAAGGCAGCCCCCUGGGAUAAUAUUGACGCUCAUGCACGAAAGCGUGGGGAGCAAACAGGAUUAGAUACCCUGGUAGUCCACGCCCUAAACGAUGUCUACUAGUUGUUGGUGG